Molecule: non-coding RNA, 575 nt
Organism: Zootoca vivipara (common lizard)
Lineage: Eukaryota; Metazoa; Chordata; Lepidosauria; Squamata; Lacertidae
Source: RefSeq, a predicted model, not a curated record
GCUGCACUUCCAGAGAUCUCUUUGGUGAACCAGGUUUGCUUUGCCAACCAAGAAAGAUGUGCUCCCGUCAGGACAAAGACCAAUGCUACAAGCAGGAGAAAGAGGAAGGGUCCUGCUGUGGUGGCCGGAGGUCUUCCACCAGUGAGGACCGAGGUUCCUGCUGUCUGGGACGGAGGAACAGCGGAGGGUGUCAUGGCAAUCGGGGUUCAUCCGGCUGUCACGGGAAGCAACAAGAGCAGCAACAGCAACAGCAGCAGGUCUUCCAAGUGCCAUCUCAGAAGCUGAAGUGACACUAAGGAGAAUUCUUAGAAGGGCCUAAUUCUGCAGGGAUUUUGUGGAGUAAUUUUAACACCAGUUGUUGAUCAUUUGAUACAUUUUCAAUAUGUUCUGUCACCUUUAUCUCUGUGCCCAAUUCGACCACCCCAAUUCUCAGCUACCUCUUCUCCUCUUCAAAGGGGAACAUCUCCUGUGACAUAUGGAGCAUGAGAAGAGCAAGGAGAGGCAUCCAGCUAUUUCUAUUUGCUGUUCAUUUGCGCACAUGAGGGAAUAAAUAAUAAACCUUUAUUAAUAAUGAA